Non-coding RNA from Myotis brandtii (Brandt's bat), 74 nucleotides. Lineage: Eukaryota; Metazoa; Chordata; Mammalia; Chiroptera; Vespertilionidae. The record is from Rfam.
GGUGGUUCUUGGGUGAUGCGCCCCAAAAUCGGGCUCCCUCCUCUGGUUCUGGGGUUCGUCACCCGAGGACCGCC